RNAcentral lists this ribosomal RNA (468 nucleotides) under uncultured bacterium. Its description in RNAcentral is "partial 16S ribosomal RNA". It matches the Rfam family "Bacterial small subunit ribosomal RNA", at positions 28 to 507 of the family's 1533-position model. The record is from RNAcentral.
GACGAACGCUGGCGGCGUGCUUAACACAUGCAAGUCGAACGGAAAGGCCCUGCUUUUGUGGGGUGCUCGAGUGGCGAACGGGUGAGUAACACGUGAGUAACCUGCCCUUGACUUUGGGAUAACUUCAGGAAACUGGGGCUAAUACCGGAUAGGAGCUCCUGCUGCAUGGUGGGGGUUGGAAAGUUUCGGCUGUUGGGGAUGGACUCGCGGCUUAUCAGCUUGUUGGUGGGGUAGUGGCUUACCAAGGCUUUGACGGGUAGCCGGCCUGAGAGGGUGACCGGCCACAUUGGGACUGAGAUACGGCCCAGACUCCUACGGGAGGCAGCAGUGGGGAAAAUUGCACAAUGGGCGGAAGCCUGAUGCAGCAACGCCGCGUGCGGGAUGACGGCCUUCGGGUUGUAAACCGCUUUCGCCUGUGACGAAGCGUGAGUGACGGUAAUGGGUAAAGAAGCACCGGCUAACUACGUG